This is a long non-coding RNA of Helianthus annuus (common sunflower), 2558 nucleotides long. RefSeq lists it as uncharacterized. NCBI's taxonomy places the organism in Eukaryota, Viridiplantae, Streptophyta, Magnoliopsida, Asterales, Asteraceae. The record is from RefSeq and is a predicted model, not a curated record. The transcript is spliced from 3 exons.
AAUCGAUUUGCACAUUGUGAACGUUCAUUUGGAAUUUUAUUGGUCGAAAUCCCUCUUUUGUUGGACCCCCGUAAACUUGGUCGCAUUAGUGAUAGUAUCACUACGCUUCGUUCACUUGACUUCGAUUUUUGGAACAAACUCAGCUAAACCGUUGGGUUCUUAUUGAUGGAAAACGACUUUACAUUCAUAUAAUUCGAAUAAGUUUUGAUUUGCUUAUGCGGUCAUUCACUUUGGUAUUAUUCGGACUUACCUAGGAACGACACAACUCUGAGGAGAUAACCUAGUCUAAAUUUUGAGGACGAAAUUUUUGCAACAGGGGGAGAAUGUGACAACCGGUAAUUAACGGCCUCUAAUCACGCGAUUAACAAAUGUUUAUGGCGAUAAUAAAUAGUGUUUAAGACGUAGAUUAACUUAAUUAGGCCUUUGUAGUGCCUAGGAACGUCUACCCGACUUUACAGUGCGCGAACGGUGGUUUACGGAUAAACCUGUUAAACGGAAAACGGCAACGAAUUGAAACCGAAUGAAAUACUGACAACGCCGAAAAGUACAAAUUUUAUACGCAUAGUUUAUAUUUAUAAAUUUAGUUUUGCGAAAUUUUUACGCUUUCGAACGACGCAAAGCGCAAACGUGAACGAAAAACGCGGAAACAGUAAUGCACCGACAAUCAACGACGAAACGGAAGCACCAGACUCGAAUCUCAUCUUGAUAUUAAUAUAUUAUGAUAUAUUUGGCAUCGUUUUCGAAUUUUAUUAUGCGUAGUCUAAAACGAAAUGAACAACGGACAAGAAACGACAAUCGAAGCAGUUUAUGCAAUUUUUAACGCGACCGAUGAUCAAACGCGGCAAACAACGAUUACUUACAUAUCUAUAAACUUGAAAUUUUAAUUUACGACAUUCCGACGAUUUCGGUUAUAAAAACGGGUCUCGUAGAGGAUUACAGGCCACUUAAACACGGGCUUGUGGGCCUUGGGCCCAAGCCCAAAGCCCACUAAACCAAACCUAGCUAUAAAAGGGAAGGUGAAACCCUAACCCUCAUUUUUUUUGUCAGCCGCACAUGCUUGAAGUCCCCCUUGUUCUCUUAUUUGCUCUGCUAAUCAAGAAAUACACACACAAACAUAUGGAGACCAUCUUCUCCAAACCAAGUCCUCAACGACAACCUGCUCUCCUUCUCCAUCUCGUUGAAGAUCGGCCAAGCGACACCCCCCCCAUCUCGAUCUAUACGGCAAAACACACACACACACACACACACACCUGAAAUCAGAGCCAUAACCAUCUCUAAACACAACCACACCCACACAGAUCUGACUAUAGAGAGAGAGAGAGAGAGCGGCGGAGAAGAACCAACAGCGGCAGCAGCGCCGCCGUCUACGGCGGAGCGACGGAGGAGACAGGCGGCAUCGGUGGUUGAUGUUCCGACAACUCUUCGACACGCCCGGUAAGCGACGAUUUGGUGGAUAUCAACAGCAAUAGUGGCGGCGGAGGUGACGUCCGGUCACCAUGAACGGUUUCCGGCGACUCUCAGGUUCCCUUGAUGACGGAUUUGGGUUCGUGAACGGUCCGAUUCAGAUCAACUUUAGGGUGGUUCGAGUCAGUUUGGUUCAGAUUCGGGACACGAGCGGUUCGGGUUUCAUUUAGAUGGAGUCCAGUUUACGGUUUCACGUCGUUCGAGUUUCGGUUCGACAGUCAAAGCCUGUCAAACUUGGUCAAACAAUCAACGGGUCAGAAUCGGGUUCGGGUCAAAAUUUGUCAACAUCAGAUAUGUGUAGCUUCGGUUCAAGUGUUUAAGUUUGGUUCGGGUUCUUGUUCGGUUCAACUCAGAUCUGGGGUUCAAGUAGUCACAUCAGCAGGAUCGGGUCACGGUUCGGUUCGGUUCAACAAGUCAGACUGCGGGUCAAAGUUAGUCAACCACAGGUCAUGGUUCGUUUCGGUCAGAUUUGAUUUCGGGUCAAACUGAGUCAACUCGGGUCUACAGACAGUCAACGCAGUCAACAACAGUCAAUGAAGACCCGGAAUACUAUAGAUGCACGCUAGCUAAUUCACAUUCUUGGAACGACACUACGGAAACACACUAAGCUAGCAUUGCACAGGAACGUCAAGGUUGCAUUUUUCAAAACUAUGGAACGGUUGGAAUAGGAUAACCCACGGGAUUUCGAGUACUUAGCAGGCGUUUAAUUUCUAGAAGUCUUAGCUUAAUUGCUUCCGCUGUGCAAUGAAGAUACCGGUCCAGUCACGCCAAGCUCUGAUAUUUCGGGGUGUGACAUUUAGAGCACAAAAAUUAUAUCCGAUAUAAUGUAUGCAUGCAUUAUAUUGCACAACUUGAUCGUAGAAGAUGGACACGCAAUAAGUAAGUGGUCGGAUGAUGAGAAUGAAGAAGUAGAGCCACCAAACCAUGGACCUACACACGAUUUUACAAAACGCUUACAAAGGUUGAAGGACUCAUGUGACACUGAAGUUUAUCAUACGCUUCAACACAAUUUACUCAAGCACCCAUAAUCUAUUAAAAAACAAUUUUAGGUUAUGUAUGCUUUUUAUUUUUAGUUUUAUGUAUGUUUUUAUAAA